This 21016-nucleotide long non-coding RNA is filed under the name Coffea arabica (coffee). Its description in RNAcentral is "long non-coding RNA (CARA_LNC002381)". Lineage: Eukaryota; Viridiplantae; Streptophyta; Magnoliopsida; Gentianales; Rubiaceae. The record is from RNAcentral.
GGGAUCUAAGCUUCUUUAAUUAAGCUGUAGUAAUGCUGGAUUAUUUUUCCUUUCAGGGGUACCUUUUUUUAUUUAUUUUUAUUUUUAAAAAGUGGGCAGGGAUAGGUGAAUCUAAUACGACACUCUUGGGUUUGUAGAUGUUUCUUGGUAUCUUUGCCCUUUUAUUGUGAUGAUUUUUCGCCAAUGUUUUCUUAUUGGACAUCUUACAUGUGUCUUGACUGUAUAUGCCUUCUCCUGGAGAUGCUGUUGAUGCACCUGAGAUAGUGUUUGAUUGUAAAGUUAGUUACGUUUUCCUUAACAUGCGUAAUUCAGGUCGCAGGAGAGUUACAAAAAGUUGCUGCCUUCUUUUUUUUUCAGACUCUGCUAUUUUCUCUCACAUAUUUUAUCAUUGGCAAACAUGCAUACAAAAAUUGAUUGCACUUUCUUUUACCUAAUUUAUUGCAUACAUAAUCUGUUUUCAGUCCAUUCAGGAUCUACAUAUUUACGUGUACAAUUUGAUUUGGGGAUAGCAAUGGUGCAGGUAUAUGCUCUUUUAGUGAAAUCAAACCUAAAUAAAUGCAUCCUGAAUAAGUGCUUUGAUAUUUAACGAUAAAACUGUACUUAAGCCUGCCGUGAAAGUUCUCUUGCAUCAUUUAAGAAUUCCAUAACAAUCCUCUAGAAUGAAAGUUAAAAAAGUAAUGAACAUGGACCUGAAGAGAUGUCAUCCGAGAUUAGAAUCCAUUCCUGUAAGGAAAUGCACUAAUAACAUAGAAAUGAUAAAGUGUGUAUUUGAUAAAAAAUAGUAACUCUAACAGGGAAAACCAUCAGGCAUCAAAAUCCUAAGAUGUGUAUAAUUGGUCACUGUAAUAGGUUGGGUAGCUCUGUUUACCAUAAUGGAAAGAUAUAUUUUCUGUCUGUAAUCCUCUCCAUACCUUCUGAUGAAUUAAGAAAAUUGAGUAAUAUUCAGAAGAUGUGUUUUAAUAUCAGUCUUGCUUUGAAACCAUGAUAAGAAAGAAUGGAGUACCAUCUACUCUCUGUAAAUAUGUAAAUUGAAUUGGAUUUUGAUGUAUUUUAACUGUAUAAGUUUGUGGGAAUAUCUUAAAUAAGUACUUUAGAAGGUUCAUCUCCAUUACAUAUCUACAUGAUACAACAUUCAACAUUGUUACAUCUAACAUGUCAAAGAUGACACGUCAGCAUGUCAAAUAAUAUUUAGCGUAACCAACUAAAUUAUGAGAUUGCAUAUGCUUAUGGUUGCUGAUUACCCAAAACCAUCCGUGGCAACUUGAUGGGAUAUGCACUUCUCCAUUUCCAUCUUCCAUUUUAACAUCUCAUACAUUUUUGCCUUCUCUUCUGUCUAGGGAAGUGCAUGUUUAUACAUAAGCCUUCCAUGAGGAAUUUAAUGCCAUGGGAUUUGGCAUCUUGUGGACUGGAGGUUUAGAGCAGCGACAGAGGCCACGGCAAUUUGUGGGCCGUAUUAUUGGACCACUAAUUAACCUUCCUUAUAUGACAGAGAUAUUUCUGCCACUUGUUAUUGUAGUGUGCUUUGUACUUUCUACUAAUCAUUGUGAUGUGGCUAAAGUCAAUUUUUGCAUGUUCCCAAUCCGAUCUAGGGAUUCUUUUUAUUGGACUUGAUAUAUUGGUUACUCUUUUUUCUUUCAAUAAGCAAAGAGGCUGGACAUCUGUUUUAGAGGGGAUGAUGUCAGUAUGUGUAUGAAUAGCUCCAAGAACUUGUUUUCUGUUAUGAAAAUGAUGUAGUCUUUGCUUUCUGUUUUAUGGGUGGGGCUAUUUUCUUUUAAACCUUGUGUUUCUUAGCAUCAAAAGAGGAGUAACAUCUGUUCUUUUGAUAUCUCUGAAGGAUCAAAGCAUGCUGAAGUUUUUGCUUUGAUGGGGUCAGUUGAGGUUAUUCUUGGAAAAAAGAGACACAGAAUGAGGAUGGCUAGCUGUUUUUGAACCCCCGUGAAUGAACCAUUUGCAUCUCUUGCAUGAAGUAGUUCUGUUUUUACAAGUGCCCACUGAUUUGGAUCAAAACGCGUGGUUUAUCUGUUACAGUUUAAAGCAUGGUUUUGGAAUAGGUGCAUGAUUGCAAUUAGUUAGCUGCAUGCGAAUUAAAAUUAGACAACACUAGUGCACUUUUAUAUUCCCAAUUAGAGGAAAGUAGCUGUCAUACGUUUUCAAAUGUACCGGAUCUUUUUCCUUUCUCUCUCGAAUGGUUUAAAUUCAACUGAUUUCAGUAUGCAAUCCCGUUUUCUCUUAUUAUUGGGCUCUUUUUUUUUUUUUUAAUUUAAUAUCAUUGAGAGUUCUUAAAAUAAAUUUCUGUUGUUGAUGAUUCAAUUCAGUAACUUGUGGAGGACAACUUCUGAGGAAAAGAGGGAGUUGGAGCGCCUGGAAAAACCAAUAUACAAUUCCGUUCGCCAGGCAGCGGAAGUUCAUCGUCAGGUAGGUACUAAAACUUUGAUAUUUAUCUGUGUGCUUGGACAUGUCUGUUCGCAUUUGAGAGCAACCCGAAGAAAUGAAUAUUUCCCUAUUUGGUUGCUGAGAAAAAUAUAUUUGGCUGGCUCUUUUCUUCCAUUACGGCAACCUUGUAACUGUGUUCAGGUUCGGAGAUAUAUCAGGCAGAUUUUGAAGCCUGGAAUGUUAAUGAUUGAUCUGUGUGAGACCUUGGAGAAUACUGUACGUAAAUUGAUAUCAGAGAAUGGUCUCCAAGCUGGCAUUGCAUUUCCCACAGGAUGCUCAUUAAAUUGGUGAGUAUGAAUGUGUUGUUCGUGCAAUAUUAUGUAACUUAAGAAAUUGAAAACACUUUAUAAACAUUCACUAUGUCAGUUUUUUACCGUGUUAAGAAACUGAAAACACUUUAUAAACAUUCACCAUGUCAUUUUUUUACUGUGUUUACUUUUACAGCUUCUAGUCAGCUAAUUCAUUUAUUUCUUCUUUUCUCUUUUUCAAACUGAGUUCUUUUUCCUCUCUGGUUAAGUUCUUUCUGCUUCUAACCUGUUUCUUCUUACAGGGUUGCAGCCCACUGGACCCCAAAUUCUGGAGAUAAAACUGUGCUUCAGUAUGAUGAUGUCAUGAAACUGGAUUUUGGAACUCAUAUUGAUGGUACUAUUUUCAAAUCUUACGUCUGGUGGUCUGUGGGCAUGCUUCGUACUGCCUCAUUGGUUUUACUUGUUUUUGUUUGCUUAGCAUCAUUCCACUGUUGGUGUUUAAUUCUGGCAUGUUUGUACUUGCAGGACAUAUAGUAGACUGUGCAUUUACUGUGGCAUUUAAUCCUAUGUUCAACCCUCUCCUUGAAGCCUCACGUGAAGCCACAAAUACGGGAAUCAAGGUGGGUGUAUUUGUGUUGGAUAACUGGAAAGAAGUUCUUUAAAGUGAAAAUUUGAAACCUGCUGGUAAAUAAGUGAAAUUUAAUGAGAUGUAAACUUGUCGUCCAAGUUAUAUAACAAAUGAUUUUCACAAUGCAUUCUGUUAAAACCAACUCAUAUCUUCACCGUAUUGUAUACUUUGUUUCAUUUUCAGGAAGCUGGAAUUGAUGUCCGCCUUUGUGAUGUUGGUGCUGCAAUCCAGGAGGUCAUGGAAUCAUAUGAGGUUGAAAUUAACGGCAAAGUAUACCAAGGUAAUUGAAAUUGAAAUGAAUGUAGCUUUACUUUACAUCUGUCAGAUGCUUUGAGGUUAGAAUAAUGGCUGAUAAUGUGAAACCUUUUUUUAUUUUUUUGGUGAUACUUUUACUAUUUGGAGUCCAAUUCUUCUUUAAAUGUUUUACAAUCUUAAUAAUUAUUACACUGAGAACCAUUUGAUUUUACUUGUUGGGAUAGUACUUUUGGUAUAGAAACACUACCUAAUAUCUUUCCUUUCACUCUCUAGGUUACAUUUUUAUUGGCUGAACGUUGUUUAAGAUGAGUGCAUUUAUUGUACAAUGAAUGACGAUUGGCAAAACACUCCAAAAUUACACCCUUCAUUGAAUUCAUUGGUAAUAGAAAGGCCUUUUGCUUGGUUAAGCAUUUUCAAGAAGGGUAAAUUUUUGGGGGGAUAAGAAAAAUUAUUGCAGUAAAUGGCUUUUGAGUACUGAUAGGGGCCAAAUUUUGGCAGAGUCCAAAAAGAAAUCUGGCCAAUAAAACUGGGCUUGAUUUAAUGCUUUUUAAUGGCUUUACAGGCAUAGAUUGAAUAUUAUUGCUUGCAAUAUAUUUUGUCUUCUGGUCAUCCUCAGCGUUUAACCUAAACAGGAGGCUAAUAUGUAUCAUCUUGUGUCCUUUCUUGAUUUGAGCAGACUUCAGGGAUUCCUUUGGAUGUUCAGGCUGAUAGUUAUCAUGCCAUUUUCUUGGUUUAGAGCACUGUAUACAAACAGUGAAAGAUAAUUUUCUUUAUCUCUAUCUCAGGGAAGUUUGCAAAGUUAAAAUUCACGGAAACAAGGACUUUCAUAACUAGUCAAAAAAGCAUUAUGAUUUUUAAGUUUCAAGUCAUGACUGGUUGCUGGAUUCUGUUCUUAAGCUGUACUUUGUGUUGUGCCACAACCACCAUGAAAGAAAUUUUUUUUUGUUGUUCUUUCAUUUUUGUAUUUUGUUGUACUUGUAGUCUGUAUUCAUCUUAUGAUAAAAUUUCAUAUAAUGAAUGACAUUUAAUGUGUUUGGGGUUGCUCUCUGUCAGUUAAGAGUAUCCGAAAUUUGAAUGGGCACAGUAUUGGAAGUUAUCAAAUCCAUGCUGGAAAAUCUGUUCCAAUUGUGAAAGGAGGAGAACAAACAAAAAUGGAAGAGGGCGAGUUUUAUGCAAUUGAGACCUUUGGAUCAACAGGUGAUGGUUUCUACAUUUUUUGGCUGAGUACUGUGCUUGAUGGAACUUAAAUCUAUAUGCAGAUUCAUUUUCCUGUUAUUUGUUUUGUACAGGAAAGGGGUAUGUCAGAGAAGAUCUAGAGUGCAGCCAUUACAUGAAGAAUUUUGAUGUUGGCCAUAUACCAUUGCGAUUACCGAGAGCAAAACAGCUUCUGGCAACAAUUAAUAAGAACUUCUCUACAUUGGCCUUCUGUAGACGUUAUUUAGAUCGCCUUGGGGAGACAAAAUAUUUGAUGGCACUAAAGAAUCUAUGUGAUUCUGGGAUUGUUCAGGUAUUUCACGUUAAUUUAUUGUCAGUGAGGUAAUGAACUUUGAAGAAAUGGAGGUUUCAAUUUUGACAUUAAUAAAAGAAAGAUUUUAAGAUGUGGGGGGAGCAUGUGAUUUUGUGGAUGUGGAACCUUCUGGGGUGUUUAGAUAGAUGCCAUUAUACAUCAUGUCCAAAUGGUGAGAGGAUCUUCCUAUAUCUUGCUGAGUAUGUUAAGAUGACUGGAAGAUGCAAAAUAUCAAAAUCUAGAAAGAUCUGAAGAUAUGUGUCGGCAGACAUAUUACCUAAUGUCAUAGAAUGGAAUACUGGGAAUUACCUGUGAACUAGCCAAGUUCAUAAUGGGGUAUAUAACUUGGUUUGAUAAAUUUCUCUCCUCUCUUGAUUUUAGAUUCUAGCUAUAUAUAUUAACAGAAGCUUGUUGUAUGCUUUUCAGCCUUACCCUCCUCUAUGUGACAUCAAAGGCAGCUAUGUAUCUCAGUUUGAACAUACCAUAUUACUCCGUCCUACUUGCAAAGAGGUGAUAUCAAGAGGCGAUGACUAUUAAUGGCACGACAAAGUGUGAUGAUGAUCUGAGCUUAAUCAAUAAUUAGGGUUUACGUUCUGCCGGGCGCUGUGCGGAGGCUAGUCCCUAUUUGUUGUGUAUCUUUAAGUCUCCUUAUUCGACUAACAGCUACAUGCGGCUACCUUUUUCCUUUCCCACUGUUUUGUUUGGAGAAUGGUUCUUGUUAGGAAAACUUGUGCAACUGAUUGAUUAUCUGUUGGUGAGAGACAGAAUGUGAAGCUUAUUAUGAAAGGUGCAUUUUCUUGAGAUUGAAGAACUGGGCUAAAUUUUUGAUACAGAAUACAGAGAAGCAUAGAUCAUGUGGUCCUCCGGUGAUCAGGAGGCUAUAACUAUAUGGUUGGAAGGAUGCAAGGAUUAUUUUCAAAUCCUGGAAGCUCGGAUGGGAACAUGGGCGAGAAAUUUCACAAGAAAAAAAAGGACAGAGGAAGAAAUAUUAAUUCAGUUAAAAAAAAAAAAGAAAAAAACUUGAAUGUGUUUGUAAACUGCCAUAAAUAAUGAACCAUGAACAAAUUCAAUAUUUAUGCCCCAAAAAAUCAUCACAUUUCUUCAUUUUGAAACUCCCAAAACACCCCAAGAUAAAAACUUUUGGGUCUUGCAUUUUGUUUGUUUAUGUCAAAACUAGGCCCAAACGAAUAAUAUUGCAUUGUUAUUAUUGUAAACGGGUGGAGGUUGGGCUGCUUCUUGACAUUCAAAGCCUACUCGCACGGUAUUGGUUAGUUUUAGGUUGAUCCGAAUCAUAGGCGUCGAGUUAAUUGGAUUGGAUUGGAUUGGAUGGGGCUGGGGGGCAGCAUGAGCUUGUUGAGGGGAGGCUGCUCCUCCUCCUCCUCCUCCUCCUCCGGCGGCUACUGCUGCUGUUCUAGUAGCAGCAGUAAUUAUGGAUAUGGUGGUCGUCGCCCUGUACUGCUACGAGCUCUACUUCCCUCUGCCACUGCUUCUGCUACUUCAUCUUCAACGCCGCGGCCUCUGCAGCCUCUCCUCCUCCUCAGGCCCAGAGAUAAGAAGAAGACGAUUAUACUAACCCCACCAUUCUCCACUUCACCUCCUACUAAUCCUAAUUACUCCUCCUCCUCCUCCUCCUGGGCUACUCCUAAAAAACUAACACCGCCAUUUCUGCUGCCUUCCCCGCUCAUCACAAAAUUUACUCCUGUUACUCCCAUUCCAACGUUGUUGCCGGGGUGGAAACGCUGUUUCUGCACUGCCCCCUCCUCCUCCUCCUCCUCCGUCAAGGUGGAGGAUGAUGACGAUGAUGAGAUGACCAAGAUCAAAGAAGCCGCCAACACAUUGGACAUUCGAGUGGGCAAAAUCCUCAAGGCCUGGAGGCACCAGGAAGCUGAUUCCCUCUACGUCGAAGAGGUCGAUGUUGGGGAGCCUGAACCCAGAAUCAUUUGUAGUGGCCUCGUCAAAUAUCUGCCCCUCCACCAUCUUCAGGUACCAUAUUAUACUGUUCUACUAUUUCUACUGCUACUAAGUCAUGCAUCAAAAUUACCCCUACUGCUGCUGCUGCUGCUUGUUAAGCUAUUAGUGACAAAUUUGGACAACCCUCGUGCUUAAUACUACUAGUGCUAGGCCACGACUACUAGUUAUUGACAAAAAUGUCUGCUUCUAAGCUAGCCAUGUCCCCAUAGAGCCUUCCAUCCCCACUCUUUUAUUGCUAUCAUCAUAAGGAAGACUGUGUUCAGCAUAGCGUCGCGCAUGCUUGAACAUACCAAGCUUUUUACUUUCCCAAAAGCUCAUCGGACGGCAUUUUCAAUUGAGAAGAGCUGGUCUUCUGUCUCUUCUUUGAGCAAACCUUCAGGUGAAAAUAUCUAACCCCAUGAGAUCAACAUGCAGGGCAUCAAUGUGGUUGUCCUUGCUAAUUUGAAGCCAAGGAAUAUGCGUGGUGUCAAAUCAUCCGGAAUGCUGAUGGCAGCUUCUGAUGCAUCACAUGAGAACGUGGAGCUACUAGUGCCUCCUGAAGGCUCAGUUCCUGGUCAAAGGAUAUGGUUUGGUUCUGUGGAUGAAAAGGAGAAUCUUCCAGAUGCCGCAUCGCCCAAUCAGGCAAAUUCUCAAACUCUCAUUGCGUAAAACAAGUUCCAAACUUUUAUUUGGUAUGGUAUGGAAUUUUUCAUGUCAGAGACAACAUCUAGACGUGCACAGAAAAGCGGGUAUUAAACCCUUAGCUUUCCCGUUAUAGACCUCUCUAGGCAAAAGAUAAUUUAGUGGCGACAUGCCUCGUGUAUCAAAGCCUAUAAGUAUGAACUUAAGUAAGCAAAAAAAUUAUAUGAGGGUAGUACAUCACUUUGUUGGACAAUUGAAUGUAUGCUCUGCUCUAAAAUACUUUACGGUUACGUUAUAAAUGUCUCAGCUCUUUAAUGCAUGGUAUUCAGAAUUCACAUGGUCGGCUUUUGGUUAGAUGUUUAGUAACAAAAUUCUUCCUGAUCUUUUCCAUUUUCUUAUGGGAGUUCUCCAGGAUCCUGUUUAUAAACUACUUUGUUGGUAGGUUAUAGCUUGCAAGUUCAUUGACAAAUGAAAUUUGGGCAAGAACAAUAAUUUUGCGUUACUUGUGGAAUUUUUGCUUGGUCAUAUCCUCAAUGAAGAGAACUCUGGUGUUUAUUAAAGUACUACUUAUGUUGGUUUGAUGGAUAGGGCUUCAAAUGCAAAGGUGAUAAGUUAUACUAAUACAGGAUCGUAAAAAUGCUCAAAUGAUUAUAAUUCAGCUUUGCAUUGAGAUGAUGAAUUACUGAAGAGGACACUGGGCAAAGAAUAAUUAGCUUUCCUUAAUAAACCUCUUCAAUGCACCUUUUGUAUUUUUGAUUUCAUUGUGAAGAACAAUGUCAUAGAUGUCUUACUAAUGCAUGGAUGCUAGUAGAAUCUCAAUGUAAAACUGCCCUUGGUAAGAAAGUGAGUGUGCUGAAACAGUUAUUAGCGAUACUGAAUAAUUUAGUUCUGUUAUUCUUUUCUGUAGGUAAAACAGUUAGAUUUUAUCGAUGAAAACAAAGUCAAGUUUGUAUAAACAUAUGGGUGAUACCCAAAUACCUUUUAGUAAAUGAUUUAUUAAAUGCGGCCUGGCAAGAAGCAGAACUUUUCGUUCAAUGGGUUACUAAUUUUAUUCGUCCAUAAACUGAUUAUGUUUAUGGCUUCGUAAAAUGAUAAGGUCAAAUCAACAUCAAGUCAAAUAUUGAGAGAUAACACAUAUUUCUUCUCAAAGAAACAUACAUCACUGCCAUGUCACCAGAUUCAGCUGCUGAAAUGUUAGGUCACUUCCUUGCCCAGUCAAGUUGUCAACCCAAUCUGAUCAACUGGCUGUUUAGUCGUUGGCCUUUAAUAUGAGAAUUUUUAGUUGGUACGCAUCACAUAUUGCAAUGUUUACUGUGGUUUUUGCUUACUUAUUAAGGAUUAAAUAAAAUAUCAUGGCACAACUGAGAUGUUUGGAUGAGAAUGUUUUGCAAGUUUGUUACCAUAAGCAACUAAAGGCAUAUUGUAUUUACUUUUACUAGAUAGACAAAACCUUUAAGCUAUCCUAACAGUAAACAGACCAGAUAUUGCUUUUGUUGUAAGAUUGGUGAACCAGUUUCUGAAUUCACCAAGGUACAGUGAUUAGACAUACUGAAACUUAAAAUGUCUUAAAGGUGCCUUGGGUCAUGGCUAACUCUAUCAGAACAGUCAUCUUAAAAUAUUUUGUUGUUAGUGGAAUCCUGUUUCAUGGAAGUGCAAGAAACAAUCUGUGGUUUCAAAGUCUGGUGUUGAAUCCGAUUAUAGGGCUAUGGUGCAAACUAUGUGCAAGUUGCUAUAGCUGAAACAGCUGUUGAAGGAACUUGGUCUUGAAAAUAAUAAUCCAAUGGAUCUGCAGAAGGCAAGCAACUCUACGUAUUGUAUCUAAUUAUCUGGACAACUGUGGGUGGACAACUGUUAUUUGUGUACCUGUUGGUGGAAUCUUGUUUCUUGGAAGAGUAAGGUACGGUGCUAAAUGCCAAUAUAGGGCUAUGGUGCAAACUACAAGUGAUUUGCUAUUGCUGAAAUAUCUGUUGAAGGAACCUGGUUUUGUAAGUAAUAUGCCAGUGGGUGUAUCAUGCAAUAAUCUUGCAGCUCUUCAUAUUUGCAUCUAAUUACCCUGGCUGCCGCCACCUUGCAGUGGACUGGGGAAAGUGAAUACCCUUGACGCACACCCACCAACCUGUGAUCAGAAGGCUAGCCUCUUUCUAAGGAUAUUUGGUGGACUUUAUACAUAGACAAAGCACAUUAAGAUAGAUUCUCACUACAUCUGCAGAUUAUAUGUUAAAAGAUGAGCAGCUAGUAGACUCGCUCAGUAAAUGUUUUGGCAGUUCUAGAAUGCAUUUUACUUGUAACUAGCUAGGGUAUUACUAGAAGUAUUGAGGAUUUGAAGGUCAAUAGUUAUGUUUUCAUAACAAAUAUUGUGGUUCAGGGAAUUAAAGCAGAAAAAGGGCAACCCAAAUGGCCAUUAAACUAUUCCUUUGGUGUAAUUUUGGCUACUGGACUAUUUUUAGUUCCAAUUUUUCCACUGAACUCCUAAAAACAUUUACAUUUGGCACUUUUUAAUGUUUCACUGUCAAGUCCUUUCUCUUCGGUUAAUUUAGGGGGAUACCUUUUUCCAAAUGUUUUUCUCUUCGGUUAAUUUAAAAGUUUUACUUGAAUUCUUGAUUAAGGUAUCUUGAAUGCACCCAUGUCAGUCAAACAUCUGUGAGUGAAUGGAGUGUGACAUAGUUUUAGCUUAACGUGCUUUUGUUUGACUUGACUAAACCAUUGAUGCAACUAAUGAUCCAAAGAGGAUGAUUGGAGGAAGAGCUGUUUUUCUCAGCUUGUGGGCUUGUUAAUGGAAUGACAGAAAAGUGAUUGUUGAUUUGGUACUGAGGCUGUCGGGUCGCAUUGCAGGUUGGAGUCGGUAAAGCUCUCUGACUUUUAAUACUGAAUUAGUUCUAUGACUGAAUUAAAGGUUCCAAAGGUCAUUGUGCAAGAAUUUGGUGUCAAUGCAUAUCUGCGAGCUCUCUCUUUGUUGUCUUCAGUGCAAAGUAGAAAGACACUGAAUUUAUGCAUUUUUAAUUUUCUAUUCUGCUCGGCUUGUUAUGCUUCUUUCCAAUAAUUUGCAGAUUCAGAAGAAAAAGAUCUGGGAACAGGUUCAGCCUCAUCUGGGGACGGAUGACUCGUGUAUUGCUGCACUUGGUAUGCACACCAUGCGAACAACUGAUGGUGUUGUGGUCUGCAGAUCUCUAAAGAAUGCUAGAAUAUCAUAACAGGCAGUUGGAAGCUCGUCAAGGUCACAGGAUUCUUUGGUCUCAUAACUUGCACUUCUAGUGUGCCCCACUAUCUACUGCUGUCUUUGGACCUAAAUUUCUGUGCAGUAUGUCCGCUGGUUUUUAGUGAGAUAUUGCAGGAAGAAAAGAUAAAUGAUAAUGGGCCUUGUCUAUGUUUGACCUGUCAUAGUUUACAUCACUAAUGUAUGGUCAUUCUUUUGUCUUUUAUCUAUCUUUUGUUGACACUUUGGCAAAUAGCUGAGAAUGUAAUCUGGCUUGCAGACUUGACCUUCGGAUUGAUUUUUAUUAGGUUCUGCUGGCUGUAAAAAUUUAGGAGCGUUGUGACUUAAAUGGCACCAUUAAGAUUAGAGUUGAUUUUGUUCAAUGGGAGAUAAAAUGAGACAAAAAAAAGUUACUGAGUAAAGUGAGAAACGAGAUAUACUUUGAUGCGAUUAAAUGUGAUUAACCCUUAAGAUUGGUUGCAUUUAUUCACUUUAUAACAUGGUAUAGUUUUUGCUUCGCUAAGCAAAAAUUUUCAGCUUUCGACACCCAAUUUGAUGACAUCAAAAUUUGUAAUAAAGGAAACGUCUCUUUAUAAUUAUUGUAGAAACAGCUAUGGAAUUUGAUUAAAACUUGAAUCAUAAAGAGGGGAAAUGGGAUAAGUAGGAGGCGUGGUAGUAAAAGUAAAGAUUAAAAGACCCCAAGUUCUGGAGUUUCGGAAAAAAAAUAAGGGGACAAAGGGCAAAAAAUUAGCACUGAUCAAAAUUAACAUAACUUUUCGUUGCCGUUUUGAUAAAAAAAAAAAAAAGGAUUUCUUUUUACUUUUAGCGAAAACAAAUGGAAAACAUUAGACGCAAAAAAUAAAAGAAACCAAAUAAGAAAGGGUUUUCUAACCAAAAAAAUAAAAAAUAGGGAUAAUUUCAGAAACCUCCCCUGAGGUUUCUGACAGUCUCAAGGACCUCCCCUGAAGUUCCGAAAAUCCCUUAUACCUCCCCUAAAACUAAGUAGAUAGUUUCAGGUCCAACCCAAUUGAGGUGGACAAUGAAUAUAAAAUGUGUUUCAGGAGAGAGAAAAUAAUCAAAUUCCACCUCUGCCCUCAAGAUUGUCAUUAGUGAGGAUGUUUAUGUUGAAAAUUUCAAUGGAAUCUAGUUCCUUUGAAAUUGCAGGGGGUGUAUGUGAAACUGAUGGAAAAAGGUAAGGCUGUAUUGCAAGAAAUUGUCUUCUAGUUCAUGCCAACGGCUCUCAAAGUAGUUCUUUGUGACGGUAAUAAGAAACAGUAGUGUUGCUUUGGAGCUCUAUAUAAUUGCCUACUGAAGUUGCAAGAGAAACCAGUGAAUGUUGUUGGGUUGUGACUGAGGUUUCUGCAAAAGUGCUCAUACAAGUAGCAAAAUUCUAAUCAAAAUCUAUUUUUUGAUCACAACAAGAAGUGUUACCUAUAACAGGAGCGGGCAGUUUAGAAAUUUAUUUAUCGGAUAAAAUAAAUUUAAACCCAUUGUUGAAUAAAAGACCAGCUCUUUAUGGCUUUCGUCCAUUAUACUUACGGAGUACCCAUUUUCCUUAAAUACUAAUUUAUUUGUCGGAUAACAUAAAAUAAAUCCGUUGUUGAAUAAAAGAGCCCCACUUUUCAAAGCUUUCAUUCAUUAUAAGAACAGAGUACCCAUUUUUCUUAAACAAAAAUUUAGUUAUUAGAUAUAAUAAAAAUUAACUCGUUGUUGAAUAAAAAACCAGCUCUUUAUGGCUUUUCUCCAUUACAACAACAUAGUACCCAAGGUCCCUUAAAUAGAAAUUUAUUUAUCGGAUAAAAUAAAAAUAAAUCCGUUGUUGAAUAAAAGACCAGCUCUUUAUGCCUUUCGUCCAUUAUACUCACAGAAUACCCAAAGUGCCUUAAAUAGAAAUUUAUUUAUCGGAUAAAAUAAAUUUAAACCCAUUGAAUGCCGAAAUUAAAAUAAAAUAAAAUAAUAAAGAUGAGUAUUGAUUCAUAAUAGUAAAGAACCAGAUUCAUUAUCAUGUGCUUCCAGUUUUGCUUAUUGAAUACCACAUGACAGAUUUUACAAAAACACAGUGUACAAGUAAUAGUGCAAAUGGAACUUCAGUCUUCUGUUGAGAAGCAUUUUGAGUGUACAACAGCCAAAUCUUUCCACUUAUGCAUCCAGGUUAAUACAAAAAGAUAAAUUCGUCCAAAACAUCAGAUAACUAAUGUUCAGAUACCAAAAUUAGAUAACCAAGACAUCUAAAAGAUCCUGAUAUUCAUCAGUAAUGAUCAGAUAUUCAUGUCCUCUGAUAUCCAAAUAACAAAAGACUCUUAAUAGAUUCUACUAAAAGGUGAAGCUGCUACUGACAUUAUGAGAAUCAUGAGAAACUGAAGCAUUGAUGUUGACAUCAGUUUGUACUUGGGCACUUCCACUGGGAUGUAGUGCAGCAGUAUGCAUUCCUGCAAAUGGUUGAGGUGCUGCUGUUGAAGUUUUCCUUUUGGGGUUAUAUACAACAGAUGGAGCAGAUUUGUUGGAAGGUCGGCCUCUCUGAAAUUGCAGAUGAAGCAUGAUUAAUAUACAGGCAUGUAAAUAAGCAUUAAAAGUGCAGCUAUCUCUGAAAAAGGAUUAAGGAACAAAUACCUUUCUCUUAGUAGCAUUGGUUGCUGUUUGCAGAUUCAAGUCAGCAUUCAUUAAUGGUAAUUGAGUUGAUGGACUUCGGUUAUUGCCUUGACUAGAAACUACAAUAGGCACAUUGCCAUCAGCAUGAUCCUGCACAAAUCAAUGGCAAGCAUUAGCUCAUCAGACAACAGCAACAUAAGAAAAGUCUGUUUCUGAAUCUAAAAGAAUUGUAACCCAUAGAACAGAUCCUGCAAGCCCUGUAUUUGCAAUUCCCCUUCCUGGCUUUCCUCUAGCAAAUUGAGUCCCCUGACAUGAAAAUUAAUAACAAAUUACAAGCUCGCUUAGCAAUUUCAAGUCUCUCAAUUAAACCACUAGACUGAACCUUGUUUGUGCUGGUGCUUGUACUCCUUUGUCUCACAGGUGCUCUUUGACAUGUUCUAGUAUUAUGUCCAGUAGCUUUGCAGUUGCCACAUCUCAUAGUGGUUGACCUUUUUGCUUGAGAUUGGCUUGGCUCAUCAGGCCCUCUCCUUCUAUUAACUCUUGGACGACCUGGAGCUCUUCUCAAUGGUGGUGGAAGGACAGUUUUUGGUGUGACAUCAAUUAAUGGAGGCCAUCUCUUCUCGUGAGGAAUUGGAUGUAUCAUGCCACUAUAUGUCUUGAGAUACAUUUCUGUUGAGAAGCAAGGAUCACAGUAUGUCUCCAACUUCUGUCUUUUGUAUACAAUUCCAAGUGCAGCAUGCUUGCAUGGGAGUCCAGACAAUUGGAAAGCUCCACAGUCACAUGUCUUCUGGUUCAAACUCACUAUAAAUGUUCUGUCACCAUCAGUAACUUCAAACGAAUCCUCACUGGCCAUCUGCAAUGAACAUCUCCUAGAAUGUAUUGCAAUUUCCUUGAGCUUUUCUAUGAUGUUUUUUGGGAUAGCAGACGUCCAUGUGCAAGCCUUCUGGUACCUUUUGUGUAAUUUCUUCAUAAAUUUUUUCCUCAGUCCUUCAACAAGUGUCAGUAUUGGUUGGCACCUUAAGUCUCCAAUCCAAGCAUUGAAGGAUUCCGUGAAAUUGUUUGUGACAUGGUCACAUUUCAAAUUUGUUGAGAAAGCAUGUCUAGCCCAAGCAGAAACUGGAAUCUUGGAUAAGUACCUCCAUGCUUCUAUAUUCAUGUCCUUGAUUCUCUGCAUUGCUUGUGUAAAUCCAACUGCAUCAUAACUCUUAGCAGCUUGCCAAAAGAAGGUACUCAGUAACACUCCAGGGAAUUGAGACUUGAAGUUCAUGCAAAUAUGUCUGCAACAGUAUCUUCCAAUUGCAGAUGGCAGCUGCUGUUCAUAUGCAAUGUUCAACCCCUACAUCAAAAGCAAAAAAUCAGUCAGCCUUUUUUACCAUAUCUACACAGCAGGUUGUCCAAAUUUGGCAAAGUAAAGUAUUUAGUAAUACCUUUUGUCUGUCACUCAUGACAGUUAAGGGACAGUUGUUAUCGAAUGGUCCAAAAAAUUCUUCAAAGAAAUGAAAGAACCAGCUCCAAGUCUCUUUGUUUUCUACCUCAACAAUAGCAAAACCAAUGGGAAAUAUGCUGUUAUUACCAUCCAAUGCAACAGCAGCCAGCAAUACUCCACCAAAACUACCUUUCAAAUGACAUCCAUCAAAUCCGACAAAGGAUCUACAACCACCUAAAAAUCCAUCUUUCUGACUUUUAAAGCUAAUAAAAAGUCUGAGGAACCUUGGUUCAACUAGUAGAUUUGGUCUGUCAUAAUGAAUCUUACAAACACUACCAGGAUUAUGUUGCCUAAGAAGCACAGCAUAUUUGGGCAGUUUACUAUAUGAUUCUGAAUGUGUGCCUUCAAUCUCUUCUCUUGCCUUUUGUUUGGCUCUAUACACUUGCUGUUUACUAGGAUGCACACCAUAUUUUAGCAUCUCAGCUUCAAUGCCCUUUCUUGACAAGUUAGGAUAGGUUCUCAUCACAGCUAUCAGUUUUUUGGCCAUCCAGUCAGAGGUGGCCUCACGAUUUUUAUUAUCCAUCACACAUGUGUGUUCAGGUGUGUAUGUCUUAAUCAUAAAUGUUACUGAAUCAGCUAUAGGGGACGCAUGAAUCCUCCAUGUACAUCCAGCACUAUCACAGAUUGCAGUACACCUGGUUUUCUCAUUCUUCAGCCUUUUGAUGGGAAAUCCUUUUUGGAUCACAUAAUCCUUCAGUGCUGCUCUAAAGGCAUCAACAUUAGUGAAUAGCUGUCCCUUCUUGAAUUCUAUGUCCUCUCUUGGAUUGUAAGUCCACAUCUUGUUUCUUAGCACUUCUUUUAAAGGGUCCAUUUCUUGCUCAGAUUCAGAAUCUGGUACAAUUAGAUCACCAGUUUCAUUAUCAUCCAAGUUUUGAAAACUUUCAUCACUGCUAGAAUUCUCAGACAGAACCAUUAGCUCAUCACCUAUAUCAUCUUCAUUGUCAUCAUCAAAUCCUUGCUUCCAUGAAUCAUCAGAGCUCGAUUCACCCCUAUACCCCUCAUCCUGGGAGUCAAUAACAUGAACAUUCUGCUCAUCAGCAGCCAAGGCAGAGUGUUUGUUCUGAAUUUCUAUGUGCUCACUCUCACCAUCAAUCUUUCUCAACAACAUGACAGGUUGUUCAGCUGGGAUAAUAUCCAUGUUGAACACCUCUAUAUUUAUGACUGGUUGACCUUCAUACACACUGAACAUAUCAUGGACAGCUUCAUCAUCAUUCACAUCAAUGUAAGCUUCUGUUCCAGGUAUUGCACAUCUCAUAUGUACAAGAAGAUUAAUAUUUCCAGGCAGUUCAUCUAAUGCCUUCUCGGCAACAUCAUUCAGCAGAUUAAAGAAAGAGUAUUUUUCAGGAUUUAUAUUGGAAAUUCGAACUUUUGUCCCUCCACAAUGGAGUACAAUGUCAUACACAUCACCAGUCACCAUCCUACAACAUCAGAUAUCACUAUUUAUGAACUUCAAUGUAUACAAACAUAUAAUACUAUGACAGAGUAACUCCCUAGACCUCAUGCAAACCACUUUGUAUGAUUCAUAUAAACAGCACCAUCACAUAUGCAUGAAUACACAUUCUAGUUUAUAACUAUUAUAACCAGAAAUAAUGAAAACAUUGUCAGGUGAUCAUAUUAAUAACAAAAGCAGAAACGCAGAGCUAAUGUAGGAAAAUAAGAAGACAUGCUCAGUUUCCACAUGGUCAGUAACCUUCAUCAGCCAUAAGCUACGUAGUAUCUAACCUUGCUUUGCUUCAGAUGCUCUCAGAACACCAACAGUUCACCCUUUGCAGCAAUACUUCAGCUCAAUUUCCAGAACUCAAUUUCUUCAAGAAUUCUCCCGUUUCUCCUGGAGCUCUCAAAUGCUCUUCUCAUGAUCAGUAUGGCUCAAGAAGGUCUAUUCCUCAUCAAAAUUAACGUUCAGUCAGCUACCAUUGUCACAUCAACAACCAAAUGGGCGCCCAUUUUUGGCGCCUUUUCUCUUAGCCCAAAUUAGCAAUUCAUUUUAUUAUCAAAUUCCAGUUAAGUUACUUAAUCCUUUCUAUUACUCAUUUCACUAAUUAAUUCAUGUUAUUAUCAGAAUAUAUUACUUCAACAGCAGGGAUAUUUGUGUCAAUUCAACGUUUUUCAAGUCAUUUUGGGACCCAACAAUCUGACAGGGGAGGUAUAAGGGAUUUUCGAAACUUCAGGGGAGGUCCUUGAGACUGUCAGAAACCUCAGGGGAGGUUUCUGAAAUUAUCCCUAAAAAAUAAGAGAGAAAUAUUCAAUAACAAUAAAACGGAACAAAAUAUAUAAGAAAGUUUGAAUAACAGUCAGAAACUUGUGAAUGGGAAACAGGAGAUGAAUCUGAUGGAGAGUACAAUGGAAAACAGAGGUCUUCUAGAAGUGUAAAAACAUGAAAAAAAAAAUUUCAAUGCAAAUCUGCGGAGAAAAAAAGAUUACCAUAUUAGUCUUGCUGACUGAGGAAGAAAGAGGAAGAUGGCAAAGGAAAAGAAAAGGAGAGAAGAGAAUGACGAAAAAGAGGAAGAAAUGAAAAGAGAACCAGAAGAGACCGAGGGAAAAGAGAGAGAUAAAAGCACACGGUUUCUGGCACACGGUUUCUGGCACACGGUUUCAGGUGGUUUGGGAAAUAGAAGGGAACAAAACCGGUACAAGGAAUCCAGGACCAACAAGUAUGAAGAAGGACGAAACACCAACAACAAACUUCACGACCCAUUCCCACUCUAUAUAUAAGUUCUUUAUGGUACAAUACUACAAAGUUAAUAAAGACUAAUUUUGAUAGGAGUCCGCGGAGAAAUUUGGGGUUUCUCCAAUUUUCCAUCGUUUUUGGUCAAGAGAAUUGGUGCAGCCACCCGCUUUGGUGCAGUUGCAGCAGUCCUAGUGAAAAUGGCAAAAGACGACGAAUUGGGGGCUGGAGCCGUCCCAGAAGAAGAGGGGCCAUCCGAAACUGCAGCAGCAGAUGAAACUGAGGAGAAAGUUGAUGAGCUCACUUUAGAUGGCCCACAAGGUUUUUAUUGCAUCGCUGCUUGGGUUAAUCGUAGUUAUUUUACAUUUCCAAUAAUCCCUUUUAAUUUGGUGCCAUGACUCUCGUUAAUCGAUCUUUAGAUAUUCUGAUUGUAAUAGAUUACUAAUGUGUGCGCAAUUAGUAGAAAAAACUUUCUGAACUUUGUUCUCUAAUUAAAUUGCAUCUGUUAAUCAGAGAACGACUUGUUGCUUCAUGUAUAAUCGUGGGAUUCCCUUGUUCAUCUUUUUGGUUCUAAGGUUUGUUCAGUUGCUUGAAAGAUAUGAUUUGUGAAACAGUAGUUGUUCUUCAUUAAGGUAAAAAGAAUUUAUUAAGCAAAAUUUUUUUUUUUUUUAUUCAGUACUUGUUAGGGUAGCUUCUUACAGUCAAACCUUUUGCGGUCUAAUAAGUCAAAAUCACAAGUCCAGUGAACACCUGAAAAGAAGUCCUAUCCAGUUUGUUUUUUUAAGGGAAUAGACUGGUUUAUUUUCCCAUUUUCAGCUUGGUAUCUAGCUUUGGUCUAUUCCAGUGCUGUUGAUGAUUAUCAGAUAUACCAAAUGAUUUCUACCUGUUCUGCUAUAUUCUCCUUUUUAUUGCUCACGAUUGUGUUUCAUUCCCAUGAUAAGCUGUCCUUUCCGGCCUGUUAAUAGAUUCAUUUUCUUUACUCCUGAGCAGCUGAGUUUCUUGUUUGCUUAUUAUAGCUCGUUGAACAUCGAUUUAGAUUAUUUGCGAAUGCAUAUGAAGAGAGGUUGGUCAUGCACAAACUUAUUCAUUCAGCUUACAAAUUCUCUGUUUCUUGGAAAAGAGUUUAGAUAAUAUGGAUAUUUAUGUUCGCCCAUUCAGGUCUAGCUCUCCUCAAACGUCAUUUUAGUUGUAGCAUCGUAUUUGUAUAUUUGUUCACUCUCUCAACACAUGCUGAAAUAUGAAUUAAGUUUUCAGGCAGCUGAUUAAGCAUUAGCAUCCAUUCCCCCUCAAAAGAUAUGUUUCAGUUAAUCCAGUAACCAAUCUAUAAAAAAAUCUGGACUUAAUUGACAUUUGAUACUUUUUUUGAAAUUUGCAUAGCAAAGUGAUAUAUAAUUACUGAUUCAUUCUUUUUGAUAAAUAAUUUAAUAGUAGUAUUUGCUCUUACACUUGGGCCUUUUGAAAUUCACAGAAGCUGCUAAAAAGAAGAAGAAAAAAAGUAAAAGCAAGUGAGCACUUUCUCUCCUUUCAUUGUCUUUUUUUCUCCUUAUGGAAGGAUUUAGGUUUUCAUUUCUCCUUUUUCAUGUUUUGCAUUUUCAGGAAGAAAAAAGAAAUGCGGGUGCAAACAGAUCCUCCAUCCAUCCCAGUUAUUGAACUCUUCCCUUCUGGGGAAUUUCCAGAGGGUGAAGUUCAACAGUACAAAGACGAGUAUGUACCCAUUACUGUAUGCUUUAUUGUCUUUGAUGACCUAUAUUAAGCAUUAUUGCAAUCAGAACAGAUUGUCUGAAAAAUUCGCAAUGGAAAGGGUCAGGAUAUUUUCUGCAUUUGAUUAUUGGUUGUAUUUAAAAGUUCAUAGUAGUGAGAUGGAGAGCAAAAGGAUUGUCUCUUUUAAUUGAUAAAUGCUUCUGACAGCAUUUAAUUUCCAUACAAGGGAAAGUUCCUGUAAGAGUGAAUGUGCAUGGAUAUACUAAUUCUUUACUACAAAGUUGCUGCAGUGUGCAGAUUGGAAAGCUUUUUAUUAGGAUGUGUUGGCGAAACUAUGUGAGCUAUGAUUGUCUGAGGAGAAAGCUCGAAUAGUAAAUCCACUUUUAGGGCCUGUUUGAUAACUCUACUUAAUGCUGAUAAUUAAUUUAUUCAGAAUUUUUUGAAUUUAGCAUGUUUGAUAAUAGAAAUUCCUUACUACUUAAUGUAUUAAGCACUGCAUAAUUUGUGUACAAAAUUUUAAGUGAAAAAAAUUUUGACUGACUCCUCUGAAUUGACCACACAUACUAUGCCUCUCACGCACAUGACACAAUCUCAUAGUGUUCUUGCACAUAGUGCACGUUUGUUUUCUUUAUGCUGGACAUAUACAAAGACACAGAUGCACGCGCACACACACUCUUACAACAAAUAUACACACUUAAAUACCACUUCUAAAUUAUUUCAUUAUUUUCUCUCUCACACACAUGCGCAUUUUUCUUUUUCUCCAAAUGCACAAAUAUAGGUUUAAAUAAAAAAAAAUAGAAAUACAAUUAUUAGAGAUAUUUUUACUGUAGCACUUUUUGUGAUGUGAUGUAUGUGAGAUAAAAAGGUAAUUGAAAAGGUAAAAAGGUGUAUUGGAAAUUGUAAUGAUGAUGUAAGCAAAAAAAAUUGGGGAAAUAAAGCCCAAUCCAAACAAACCCAUAAUUGUGCGAUAUUUCAAUUGAGUAUCAUAAUCCAGUUAGUUAUCAAACAAAUAUAACUUGAACAAUUCAGCAACUUAAUACAUUCAGCACUUAAUUUUCAGAAUUCAGAUUUCAGACUUUAGAUUUAUCAAACGGACCCUUAAUCCUGAGUUUUAUUAGUCUCUGGGCUUAUCUUUUUGUAAUUUAAAUAAUUUUCUUCAGUGGGGUGCUGGGGGAAGAUGCGUGCUUGCUCGUGGCUGCAAUGUGUUGAUGAGUUACUAUAUUUUCAUUGGCUUAUUCUGCCUGAUGCCCUAAGCAUUUUUCUGCUUGGAAGAUUUUAGCAUCCCAGUGCUCUUUCUAAGAGCAACGAAAAGAAGUGGGAUAUCUUGACACUUAAGAAUUUAUAUGUAUCUGAAAAUUAGGAGAUCUAAGCUUCUUUAAUUAAGCUGAAGUAAUGCUGGAUUAUUUUUCCUUUCAGGGGUACCUUUUUUUAUUUAUUUUUAUUUUUAAAAAGUGGGCAGGGAUAGGUGAAUCUAAUAGGACACUCUUGGGUUUGUAGAUGUUUCUUGGUAUCUUUGCCCUUUUAUUGUGAUGAUUUUUCGCCAGUGUUUUCUUAUUGGACAUCUUACAUGUGUCUUGACUGUAUAUGCCUUCUCCUGGAGAUGCUGUUGAUGCACCUGAGAUAGUGUUUGAUUGUAAAGUUAGUUACGUUUUCCUUAACAUGCGUAAUUCAGGUCGCAGGAGAGUUACAAAAAGUUGCUGCCUUCUUUUUUUUCAGACU